CAUGCGACUAUCGUGGCAUAUCAAUAAGCGGAGGAAAAGAAACUAACAAGGAUUCCCUUAGUAACGGCGAGUGAAGCGGGAAGAGCUCAAAUUUGAAAUCUUCAAGGUUUUACCUUGACGAAUUGUAGUUUAAAGAAGUGUUUUCUGUUGAAGUUUUGGUAAAAGUUCUUUGGAAUAGGACAUCAUAGAGGGUGAGAAUCCCGUAUUUGACCGUUACUUUCCAGCUGUGUGAUACACUUUCAAAGAGUCGGAUUGUUUGGGAAUGCGGUCCAAGAUGGGUGGUAAAUUUCAUCUAAAGCUAAAUAUUGGCGAGAGACCGAUAGCGAACAAGUACCGUGAGGGAAAGAUGAAAAGAACUUUGAAAAGAGAGUUAAACAGUACGUGAAAUUGUCAUAAGGGAAGCGUUUGACACCAGUGUUGUUUUCUCGAAAAUCAAUUAAAAAUGAUGGGAUUUUGUGUUGUAUUGACUUUAUCAGUUUUCUGCACCUUUUUCUUAUCUUUUUUAAUGCACUUUUCGUUUAACAAGUCAACAUCAAUUUCUUUUGUUGUAAAAGGGUAAGAGGAAGGUGGCUUGGCUUUCGGAUAAAGUGUUUAUAGCCUUUUACCUUCUGCAAUCGGGAGAGGAUUGAGGUCUGCAGCGUAGAUCCUUCGGGGUUAGAUACAUUUGUGCUAAGCUAUAGCCUUUUCAUAGACAACAUUGUUGACUAUGAUCAGUCAUGUAGCUUACUCGCUUAUGUCUAUUUUACCUACGCUUAGGAUAUUGACGCGCGUGUGUGCGUG
RNAcentral lists this ribosomal RNA (780 nucleotides) under uncultured Neocallimastigales. RNAcentral describes it as "partial large subunit ribosomal RNA". It matches the Rfam family "Eukaryotic large subunit ribosomal RNA", at positions 24 to 625 of the family's 3401-position model. Lineage: Eukaryota; Fungi; Neocallimastigomycota; Neocallimastigomycetes; Neocallimastigales. The record is from RNAcentral.